Molecule: ribosomal RNA, 506 nt
Filed under: uncultured bacterium
Lineage: Bacteria
Description: partial 16S ribosomal RNA
Rfam family: Bacterial small subunit ribosomal RNA
Source: RNAcentral
AGUGAACGCUGGCGGUAGGCCUAACACAUGCAAGUCGAACGGCAGCACAGGAGAGCUUGCUCUCUGGGUGGCGAGUGGCGGACGGGUGAGGAAUACAUCGGAAUCUACUUUUUCGUGGGGGAUAACGUAGGGAAACUUACGCUAAUACCGCAUACGACCUACGGGUGAAAGCAGGGGAUCUUCGGACCUUGCGCGAUUGAAUGAGCCGAUGUCGGAUUAGCUAGUUGGCGGGGUAAAGGCCCACCAAGGCGACGAUCCGGAGCUGGUCUGAGAGGAUGAUCAGCCACACUGGAACUGAGACACGGUCCAGCCUCCUACGGGAGGCAGCAGUGGGGAAUAUUGGACAAUGGGCGCAAGCCUGAUCCAGCCAUACCGCGUGGGUGAAGAAGGCCUUCGGGUUGUAAAGCCCUUUUGUUGGGAAAGAAAUCCAGCUGGUUAAUACCCGGUUGGGAUGACGGUACCCAAAGAAUAAGCACCGGCUAACUUCGUGCCAGCAGCCGCCGUAA